CAGUAGCCACGGUAAUACGUAGGUGGCAAGCGUUGUCCGGAAUUAUUGGGCGUAAAGGGCUCGCAGGCGGUUUCUUAAGUCUGAUGUGAAAGCCCCCGGCUCAACCGGGGAGGGUCAUUGGAAACUGGGAAACUUGAGGGCAGAAGAGGAGAGUGGAAUUCCACGUGUAGCGGUGAAAUGCGUAGAGAUGUGGAGGAACACCAGUGGCGAAGGCGACUCUCUGGUCUGUAACUGACGCUGAGGAGCGAAAGCGUGGGGAGCGAACAGGAUUAGAUACCCCCGUAGUCCCUGUCUCUUAUAC
This 301-nucleotide ribosomal RNA is filed under the name uncultured bacterium. RNAcentral's name for it is "partial 16S ribosomal RNA". It matches the Rfam family "Bacterial small subunit ribosomal RNA", at positions 509 to 807 of the family's 1533-position model. The record is from RNAcentral.